This 433-nucleotide ribosomal RNA is filed under the name uncultured bacterium. RNAcentral describes it as "partial 16S ribosomal RNA". It matches the Rfam family "Bacterial small subunit ribosomal RNA", at positions 29 to 507 of the family's 1533-position model. The record is from RNAcentral.
AACGAACGCUGGCGGCAUGCCUAACACAUGCAAGUCGAACGAGACCUUCGGGUCUAGUGGCGCACGGGUGCGUAACGCGUGGGAACCUGCCCUUAGGUUCGGAAUAACUCCCCGAAAGGGGUGCUAAUACCGGAUAAUGUCUUCGGACCAAAGAUUUAUCGCCUUUGGAUGGGCCCGCGUUGGAUUAGCUAGUUGGUAGGGUAAAAGCCUACCAAGGCGACGAUCCAUAGCUGGUCUGAGAGGAUGAUCAGCCACGCUGGGACUGAGACACGGCCCAGACUCCUACGGGAGGCAGCAGUGGGGAAUAUUGGACAAUGGGCGAAAGCCUGAUCCAGCAAUGCCGCGUGAGUGAUGAAGGCCUUAGGGUUGUAAAGCUCUUUUACCCGGGAUGAUAAUGGCAGUACCGGGAGAAUAAGCUCCGGCUAACUCCGUG